Molecule: non-coding RNA, 1467 nt
Organism: Coturnix japonica (Japanese quail)
Lineage: Eukaryota; Metazoa; Chordata; Aves; Galliformes; Phasianidae
Source: RefSeq, a predicted model, not a curated record
CUUUGCCCAUUGGUUGCAUUUCUGCUCCCUUUGCAGGUUUCGAUGGCACCGUUUGCAUUUACGACACUUGCAGCUGGGACGGGCGCGACGCUGCGCCGCUGUUUGUGCAUCGCGGCCACGCGCUGCGGCUGCAGCCAUUGGUCACUGCACACACGUGGCACCCACACAAAGCACGGACUGUGCUGUCUGCAGCCAGCAAUGGAGCAUUGCACGUCUGGGAAUGGGUGCAGCCUCACUGCAGCUGAUGCAGGGGAUGCAUGGGGGGCUGCAGUGCUGGGAGNUGCAACGUGAUGCAUUGGGGGCUGCAGUGCUGGGAGGUGCAAGGUGAUGCAUUGGGGGCUGCAGUGCUGGGGGGUGCAACGUGAUGCAUUGGGGGUUGCUCUGCUUGCAGGUGCAGACCUGAAUGCUCUGCUUGCAGGUGCAACGUGAUGCUCACGUCUGGGGCUGGGUGCAGCCUCACUGCAGCUGAUGCAGGGGAUGAUGCAUGGGGGGCUGCAGUGCUGGGAGGUGCAUUGGGGAGCAUUGCUGCUCUGCUUGGAGCUGCAAGGUGAUGCAUUGGGGGUUGCUCUGCUUGCAGGUGCAAGGUGAUGCAUUGGGGGCUGCAGUGCUGGGGGGUGCAACGUGAUGCAUUGGGGGCUGCUCUGAUUGGAGGUGCAACGUGAUGCAUUGGGGGCUGCAGUGCUGGGAGGUGCAAUGUGAUGCAUUGGGGGUUGCUUUGCUUUGCUUGGAGGUGCAACAUGAUGCAUUGGGGGCUGCAGUGCUUGGAGGUGCAGAGCUGAGCAUUGCUGCUCUGCUUGGAGCUGCAAGGUGAUGCUUUGGGGGUUGCUUUGCUUGGAGGUGCAUUGGGGAGCAUUGCUGCUCUGCUUGGAGGUGCAUGGUGAUGCAUUGGGGGCUGCAGUGCUUGGAGGUGCAGAGCUGAGCCGUGCUGCUCUGCUUGGAGGUGCAUGGUGAUGCUUUUAGGGCUGCUUUGCUUUGCUUGGAGGUGCAAGGUGAUGCAUUGGGGGUUGCUUUGCUUGGAAGUGCAGAGCUGGGCCUGGAUGCUGGAACACGGAGUUGCAAGGGCUGCUCCUUUUGCUCUGCAUUCCCGUUUGUUCCUUCUGCAUUCCCAUGUGUUGCAAUGACUUUGCGUUGUUUGCUCUGCACUCCCACGUGUUGGGAUGAGUUUUAACUGCAUUGUUUGCUCUGUUCUUGGGGUUGCAAGGGCUGUUUGUUUUGCUCUGCACUAUCAUUUGUUGUUGGGAUGAGUUUGCAUUGUUUGCUCUGUUCCUUUUGCUCUGCACCCCCAUGUGUUGCAAUGAGUUUGCGUUGUUUGCUCUGUUCCUUUUGCUCUACGCUCCCAUGUGUUGCAAUGACUUUGCGUUGUUUGCUCUGUUCCUUUUGCUCUGCACUCCCAUUAUUUGUUGGGAUGAGUUUGUUUGCAUUGUUUGCUCUGUUCUUGGAACUGCAAGGGCUGCUCCCUUUGCUCUG